UACGGAAGGCAGCAGUGGGGAAUAUUGCACAAUGGGCGCAAGCCUGAUGCAGCCAUGCCGCGUGUAUGAAAAAGGCCUUCGGGUUGUAAAGUACUUUCAGUCGUGAGGAAGGUGUUAAGGUUAAUAACCUUAGCAAUUGACGUUAGCGACAGAAGAAGCACCGGCUAACUCCGUGCCAGCAGCCGCGGUAAUACGGAGGGUGCGAGCGUUAAUCGGAAUUACUGGGCGUAAAGGGCACGCAGGCGGUUAAUUAAGUUGGAUGUGAAAUUCCCGGGCUUAACCUGGGAAUGGCAUUCAAGACUGGUUAGCUAGAGUCUUGUAGAGGGGGUAGAAUUCCAUGUGUAGCGGUGAAAUGCGUAGAGAUGUGGAGGAAUACCGGUGGCGAAGGCGGCCCCUGGACAAAGACUGACGCUCAUGUGCGAAAGCGUGGGGAGCAAACAGGGAUUAGAUACC
RNAcentral lists this ribosomal RNA (453 nucleotides) under uncultured bacterium. RNAcentral describes it as "bacterial SSU rRNA". It matches the Rfam family "Bacterial small subunit ribosomal RNA", at positions 340 to 786 of the family's 1533-position model. The record is from RNAcentral.